CCCUUAGAUGUUCUGGGCCGCACGCGCGCUACACUGAUGCGUUCAACGAGUUUAGAACCUUGACUGAUAGGUCUGGGUAAUCUUUUGAAUGUGCAUCGUGAUUGGGAUAGAUGAUUGCAAUUUUUCAUCUUCAACGAGGAAUGCCUAGUAAACGCAAGUCAUCAGCUUGCAUUGAUUACGUCCCUGCCCUUUGUACACACCGCCCGUCGCUCCUACCGAUUGAAUGAUCCGAUGAAUAUCAUGGAUUGAGGAUGCAAGCAGGUUCGCCUGUCUUCAUCUUCGAGAAGUGAAGUAAAUCUUAUCAUUUAGAGGAAGGAGAAGUCGUAACA
RNAcentral lists this ribosomal RNA (329 nucleotides) under uncultured eukaryote. RNAcentral's name for it is "partial 18S ribosomal RNA". It matches the Rfam family "Eukaryotic small subunit ribosomal RNA", at positions 1470 to 1796 of the family's 1831-position model. The record is from RNAcentral.